RNAcentral lists this ribosomal RNA (493 nucleotides) under uncultured bacterium. Its description in RNAcentral is "bacterial SSU rRNA". It matches the Rfam family "Bacterial small subunit ribosomal RNA", at positions 28 to 512 of the family's 1533-position model. The record is from RNAcentral.
GACGAACGCUGGCGGCGUGGAUUAGGCAUGCAAGUCGAACGGUAUCAUCCUUUCGGGGAUGAGAGAGUGGCGAACGGGUGAGUAACACGUAGGUGAUCUACCCUCAAGACGGGGACAACCCAGGGAAACUUGGGCUAAUACCGGAUGUGAGCUAUCGUGAGAUAGUUUGAAAGGUGGCUUCGGCUGCCGCUUGAGGAUGAGCCUGCGUCCUAUUAGUUAGUUGGUGAGGUAACGGCUCACCUAGGCAAUGAUAGGUAGGCGGCCUUAACGGGUGGUCGCCCACACUGGGAUUGAGAUACGGCCCAGACUCCUACGGGAGGCAGCAGUCGAGAAUAGUCUACAAUGGUCGGAAGACUGAUAGUGCGACGCCGCGUGAACGAUGAAUCCCUUCGGGGUGUAAAGUUCUUUUAUAUGUGAGCAGUGCUUCUUAUAUUAACAGUAUGGGGAGAGAGAUAUUAGCAUAUGAAUAAGCAACGGCUAACUCCGUGCCAGC